Molecule: ribosomal RNA, 253 nt
Filed under: uncultured bacterium
Lineage: Bacteria
Description: partial 16S ribosomal RNA
Rfam family: Bacterial small subunit ribosomal RNA
Source: RNAcentral
UACAGAGGUCUCAAGCGUUGUUCGGAUUCAUUGGGCGUAAAGGGUGUGUAGGUGGCGCCGUAAGUCGGGUGUGAAAUCCCCGAGCUUAACUUGGGAAUUGCGCUCGAAACUACGGAGCUGGAGUGUGGCAGAGGAAGGUGGAAUUCCACGUGUAGCGGUGAAAUGCGUAGAGAUGUGGAGGAACACCGAUGGCGAAGGCAGCCUUCUGGGCCAACACUGACGCUCAUGCACGAAAGCGUGGGGAGCAAACAGG